GAUUUAAAGCAGCAGGAUUUGGCUUUAAUCUUAUUUUUUUACAGAACUUACAGCUAGCAGAAAAACACGUUGGAAAGCUGUUUAUUUUGAGAACAGGCUGAGACCCAGCAGCUGUCUCCAUGCAGGCAGGAGGUCAUCUCUCAGUGGGCCUGAGCACCAUCCACACCUUCACCCCAUCCUGGUGAGGAGCAGACUGGGCCCCAGUGUUCUGGGAGAUGCUCUGUGCUUGGUGGACUGGGAUGGGCCUCCUUGGUGAGAGCAGCCAGCUGCUGUCACUUGUGUCAGGAAGCUGGGCCGGCCAGAGCACGGCGAGGUGGUGAUUGCUCUGCUAACAUCCCAUGCCCGAUAGCAGGAUGCCAUCAGAUGCAUUAGGGAAGCUGCAAGGAUCACCCCAACCUCCGAGCAGCAAGGCAGGCUGAGCUGCACAUCAUAGCUAGGCAAGUGCUUGAAAACUCCAGCAGAUGCUGAAGGGAAAAGCCCUGUUUGGGAAAAAUAGUGAUGAAUCAGAACUUGGAGCCUGGAUGCUGGUACAGCUCUGGCUUCUCCAUCAGCACCUGUGGCUGAUUGUCACGUAAACCCCACAGCUUUGGGCAAACUCAAUUCCACUUCUGAUGAAGGCUGAGCUGUGGGACAGCUAUGGUGGAAGAGCACAGCUGGGAUGAGCAGGAGGUGCUCAGUUUGCUGAGCACAGGGAAUGGGCAACUUUUCAAUCAUUGCAAAAGAGUUGCAACCAUAGAAAGAUGCCUAGAGGUCCCAUUUACCGAAUUCAAGAGACAAUCUGAUUGAGACCUUAAUUCAGGCUUUCUGUCAUUUCUCCACAUCAAACUGCCAAAGCUUCAACAGUUUAUUCCUCAGUGUUGAACAGCUCAGUUGGAACCACUAGGACACUUGUGACAGCUGAAG
RNAcentral lists this long non-coding RNA (903 nucleotides) under Numida meleagris (helmeted guineafowl). RNAcentral describes it as "lncRNA (ENSNMEG00000015943.1)". The record is from RNAcentral. Lineage: Eukaryota; Metazoa; Chordata; Aves; Galliformes; Numididae.